Molecule: ribosomal RNA, 216 nt
Filed under: Rhizophagus sp. (in: glomeromycetes)
Lineage: Eukaryota; Fungi; Glomeromycota; Glomeromycetes; Glomerales; Glomeraceae
Description: Rhizophagus sp. (in: Fungi) partial small subunit ribosomal RNA
Rfam family: Eukaryotic small subunit ribosomal RNA (bases 40-216)
Source: RNAcentral
GGGUUAGUAGGCUGGUCGUGCCACUGGUACGUACUGGUCUCACUGAUUCCUCCUUCCUGAUGAACUGUAAUGCCAUUAAUUUGGUGUUGCAGGGAAACUGGACUGUUACUUUGAAAAAAUUAGAGUGUUUAAAGCAAGCUAACGCUUGAAUACAUUAGCAUGGAAUAAUGAAAUAGGACGUUCGAUCCUAUUUUGUUGGUUUCUAGGAUUGACGUA